GCCGCGGUAGCUCAGUGGUAGAGCAUUGGUCUGAAGAACCAUUGGUCGUCAGUUCAAUUCUGACCCGCGGCA
This is a non-coding RNA of Candidatus Wildermuthbacteria bacterium, 72 nucleotides long. Lineage: Bacteria; Candidatus Wildermuthiibacteriota. The record is from Rfam.